AAACAAAAGAGAACAGGUGUAGAAUACAGUAUUUUCAAUUGGCCACCAAGAGUUGCAUACAAAUGCCCUCCCCUCCCAUCUAACACAGACAGACCCCGUCAUCAGGCCUCAUCUGUGACAUUUUCAAAAGAGGAUGCUUAUGCACAAAGGAGCUUAUGAGGAGCUUUUAUGCUGAGGUCUUGAUGGUCCUUUGGAAAGCCAUCCCUUGUUCGGCUUCAGUCCAAGGUUUUGAUGGCAAUGGUACUGAUCCUACUUCUGAGCUCCAGAGUUAAAUAUAAGACCUAGGCCUGACAAGAAUGUUCCAUCCUUUUGGCCACCAGACGACUCCGGGGCACAGGCCUGUGACGCAGACAGGACCUGAUGUAUCCCCUGCUCACAGGUCCCCAAAGGCAGGGCUGAUUUCCGUCUGUGUAUGGAAGAACAGUUACAAAGCUCUGCCUCCUACUAGCUUUGCAACUUUGGGCAACUAACCUAACCUCGUUGUGCCUCAGUCUCCUCCUCUGUAAAUGGAAGUAAUAAUAUUGCAUACGGCAUUGUGGUGGGAUGAAGAUUAAAUGAGUUAAUGCAUACAAAACACUUAGAAUGUUGCCUGGCACCUGGUUAAUGUUAACUAUUGUGAUUAUUGUCAUCACCACCACCCCAGCUUCGGCAACACCAUCACCCGCCACCAUCCUAGCAACAGCAUCAUUACUUAUCAUCACCACCACUCUCUUCCUCAGCACCCUCACACAGCAGCAGGAGAUGGUGAGCACUCACCGGGUGUUUGCUGAAUCUGACUCCUCUCUGUAACAUCUGAGUGUGUAAGUGGCAGUCAUACAGAACUUCAGAUGUGCUGAGUAUCAGCACAAAGGGCUGCCUAUGAUGAGAUUGCUGGUAAAGAGCUAGAAUCUCAGUUUGCCCUGAGACUAGACUGUAUCAUACUGCUUUUUCCCUCUUUUUUUUGGUAGAGACACUUUCUUGAUAUGUUGCCCAGGCUGGUCUCGAACUUCUGGGCUCAAGGGAUCCUCCUGCCUCAGCCCCCACUCAAAGUGCUGGGAUUAUAGGUGUGAGCCACUGUGCACGGCCCCCGUACUUCUUGCUGUGUCCUUCAGAAGAAAUACCCGUCCUGCUCCCUGACUCAAUUUGUGGCCCUAAUAAAACAGCAAGCUGCUAGGACUACUACAACACACAAAAUGUGGCCCUGAGUAUACACCCAUAUCAUUAUAUGCCCUCAGACACCGACAAUCCAUGAGGCUAAACUUCCCCAUGCCUAGGCCUCCAGAGACCAGAACAUGCUGUAGGCCUUUCGGUACAACAGCUGCAGCGUGCCACAAGAUGGGCAAUUCUGCACCCCAGACUCAGGCAGACCUGAGUACAAAUUUUGACUUAGGCCUUUCCAGCUGUGUGGCUUUGGGUAAAUGCCCAUCUCUGAGUGUCUGUUCACUCCUGUAUCAAAGGGAGACAAAUGGUAACACUCACCUCUCGGGGAGUCCUGAGGAUGAAAAAAGAUCGUCCGUGUGAAAACAGACUAUGUAAGUUAUGGCUAUGUAACUUAUAGGACCAAAUGCAAAAUGAAAUCAUGGGG
RNAcentral lists this long non-coding RNA (1564 nucleotides) under Homo sapiens (human). RNAcentral describes it as "HSALNT0055335". The record is from RNAcentral. Lineage: Eukaryota; Metazoa; Chordata; Mammalia; Primates; Hominidae.